CAGCCAGGAGCCAUGGGGUGGCUGAGGCAGGAGCCCAGCCAGGAGAGACUUGCUGGGGAUGGAGAGUGAAAUGAGCUGCAGAAGGAAAAGGCAAGCACUGGCGUACUUGCAAGUGGGACAGAGCAAGGUUCCCCAUGGACCAGACAUUUCUGAGAUUGCUUUUAGAGGGAUUCAGUGCAUAUCGUUUGGCUAAAGCUCAAUACAGACUAUGCAGAAAGCUGCUGUAUUCAUCCACUACCUUGCUGGAGCCUGGAUUUUCAUAGCAGCCUGCUGCCAGCACUGCUGAGGAGCAGGAUAUUUACUCAGUAUAUUACUUUUAUGCUUGU
RNAcentral lists this long non-coding RNA (326 nucleotides) under Manacus vitellinus (golden-collared manakin). RNAcentral describes it as "lncRNA (ENSMVIG00005015062.1)". Lineage: Eukaryota; Metazoa; Chordata; Aves; Passeriformes; Pipridae. The record is from RNAcentral.